This 523-nucleotide ribosomal RNA is filed under the name Salmonella enterica subsp. enterica. Its description in RNAcentral is "bacterial SSU rRNA". It matches the Rfam family "Bacterial small subunit ribosomal RNA", at positions 126 to 649 of the family's 1533-position model. Lineage: Bacteria; Pseudomonadati; Pseudomonadota; Gammaproteobacteria; Enterobacterales; Enterobacteriaceae. The record is from RNAcentral. RNAcentral also lists the same sequence under 1 other name.
CUGCCUAGUAGUGGGGGAUAGCUCGGGGAAACUCGAAUUAAUACCGCAUACGACCUACGGGUGAAAGGGGGCGCAAGCUCUUGCUAUUAGAUGAGCCUAAAUCAGAUUAGCUAGUUGGUGGGGUAAAGGCCCACCAAGGCGACGAUCUGUAACUGGUCUGAGAGGAUGAUCAGUCACACCGGAACUGAGACACGGUCCGGACUCCUACGGGAGGCAGCAGUGGGGAAUAUUGGACAAUGGGGGCAACCCUGAUCCAGCCAUGCCGCGUGUGUGAAGAAGGCCUUUUGGUUGUAAAGCACUUUAAGCAGGGAGGAGAGGCUAAUGGUUAAUACCCAUUAGAUUAGACGUUACCUGCAGAAUAAGCACCGGCUAACUCUGUGCCAGCAGCCGCGGUAAUACAGAGGGUGCGAGCGUUAAUCGGAAUUACUGGGCGUAAAGCGAGUGUAGGUGGCUCAUUAAGUCACAUGUGAAAUCCCCGGGCUUAACCUGGGAACUGCAUGUGAUACUGGUGGUGCUAGAAUAU